RNAcentral lists this ribosomal RNA (479 nucleotides) under uncultured bacterium. RNAcentral describes it as "partial 16S ribosomal RNA". It matches the Rfam family "Bacterial small subunit ribosomal RNA", at positions 28 to 523 of the family's 1533-position model. The record is from RNAcentral.
GACGAACGCUGGCGGCGUGCUUAACACAUGCAAGUCGAGCGAUGAAGCACCUUCGGGUGUGAAUUAGCGGCGAACGGGUGAGGAACACGUGAAGAAUCUGCCUUCAACUCUGGGAUAACUCCGGGAAACCGGGGCUAAUACCGGAUAUGAGCCUUGAUCGCAUGAUCGAGGCUGGAACGUCUUUCGGUUGAAGAUGACUUCGCGGCCUAUCAGCGUGUUGGUGAGGUAAUGGCUCACCAAGGCGACGACGGGUAGCCGGCCUGAGAGGGCGACCGGCCACACUGGGACUGAGACACGGCCCAGACUCCUACGGGAGGCAGCAGUGGGGAAUAUUGGGCAAUGGAGGAAACUCUAACCCAGCGACGCCGCGUGAGGGAUGAAGGCCUUCGGGUUGUAAACCUCUUUCAGUAGGGAAGAAGCGAAAGUGACGGUACCUACAGAAGAAGCACCGGCUAACUAUGUGCCAGCCGCCGCGGUAA